UGCAUGUCUAAGUACAUGCCGUAUUAAGGCGAAACCGCGAAUGGCUCAUUAAAUCAGUUAUGGUUCCUUGGAUCGUACCUUUCUACUUGGAUAACUGUGGCAAUUCUAGAGCUAAUACAUGCAGCAGAGCUCCGACCUUCGGGGACGAGCGCUUUUAUUAGACCAACCAAUCGGACCUCGUGUCCGUCUCUUGUGGUGACUCUGUAUAACUUUGGGCUGAUCGCACGGGCCCGUCCCGGCGACGUAUCUUUCAAGUGUCUGCCUUAUCAACUUUCGAUGGUAGGUUACGCGCCUACCAUGGUCGUAACGGGUAACGGGGAAUCAGGGUUCGAUUCCGGAGAGGGAGCCUGAGAAACGGCUACCACAUCCAAGGAAGGCAGCAGGCGCGCAAAUUACCCACUCCCGGAACGGGGAGGUAGUGACGAAAAAUAACAAUACGGGACUCUUUUGAGACCCCGUAAUUGGAAUGAGUACACACUAAAUCCUUUAACGAGGAUCCAUUGGAGGGCAAGUCUGGUGCCAGCAUCUGCGGUAAUUCCAGCUCCAAUAGCGUAUAUUAAAGUUGUUGCGGUUAAAAAGCUCGUAGUUGGAUCUCAGUUCCAGACGGGUGGUCCGCCUACCGGUGGUUACUGCCUGUUCUGAACAGCCAGCCGGUUUCUCUUGAUGAUCUUCACCGGUUGUCUUGGGUGACCGGCAAGUUUACUUUGAAAAAAUUAGAGUGCUCAAAGCAGGCGUGACGCCUGAAUAAUGGUGCAUGGAAUAAUGGAAUAGGACCUCGGUUCUAUUUUGUUGGUUUUCGGAACACGAGGUAAUGAUUAAGAGG
Molecule: ribosomal RNA, 823 nt
Filed under: Zorodictyna sp. CG300
Lineage: Eukaryota; Metazoa; Arthropoda; Arachnida; Araneae; Udubidae
Description: SSU rRNA
Rfam family: Eukaryotic small subunit ribosomal RNA
Source: RNAcentral